AUUAACAUAUUCAACUACAAUACAUACAUAAGUACAUGUUUGUAUGGACAAGCACAUAAUAAGCUAAAUUAGAAUACUAAAAUUAGAAAUUGUGGAAAAGCGUGGAAAAACCCCGAAGAAGAACUGAAGCCAAAGUUGAACUUCUAUAAAAGCAGCAGAGAGGCUCAAGAUGCUACUGCGCCCACGCCCACCUUGCCUAAGUAACAGCAGUAACAACAGCUAAUGCAACAACAACAAAAAGUAUAAUAGCAGCAACAAUAAUGAAAUUAUAACAACAACAACAAUAAAAAUGUAAUAGAGUUUAAAUUCAACAUUCAUAACAGUAAAUUUACAACAACAACAAAAAUUACAAAUACCACAAAAAAUUGCAAUAACGUUGAAAUCACAACAAUAAUAUAAUUACAACAACAACAUGGAAAGCACAACAACAAUAGUAACAACAACAGCAACAUUUUAACACAUCAAUUGCAACAACAACAAAAAUUACAAAAACUACAACAACAUUGCAACAAUGAUGAAAUACAUUCAACAACAGCAAUAACAUAUGCAGUUACACAAAAAUUGUAACAACUACAACAACAUUGCAAUAAUGAUGAAAUUACAAUACUUUAACCACAAAUAAUUAAAACAACUACAAUAACGAAAUUACAACAACAACAAUUAUAAUAACAACAUCAUUAAUGCAACAAUAGUGGCAGUAGCAGUACUUCGUUAAAAACUUUUGACUUGCAACAUUAUUUUUCGACCGCCUCUUCGGCUGUCGGCGUCCAGCGCGAUUUCAAUACAACAAGCAACCGCUCCGGGAUAUAUGUAUGUACAUAUGUAGUGCAUUUGCUGUGAAGCCUCUACACUGGAUAAACUGUUCCAAGAAAGCAACCUCAUUGCACACGCCAAAACACACGCCGCCGAGUGCAUCAGUUUAUUUAAGCAUACUUUUGUGCGCGCAGCGUUGUAAAUAGUUAUACGCCAUUUCUUCACCAGUUUUUUGAGUGCAACCAUAAUAGUGUUCUAACUUUAUUCAACUUUGUGCUACUCUGUGCAACCGAGCAACAUUUUAUGAGUAUGUUAACAGAUAGAAAGCGAUGAGCAAGCACAACAACAACAACAUAAAUAGCUGUGCAGAAAUGUGGCAAUAAUGGUGUGUGUGUGUUGCGUGCUUUGCUGCGAAGUUGAAGACAGUUAACGCACCACGUCGACGCUUGACUGAACGGAGGAGUCCUGGGAGAGCAUGUGAGCGCGCGUCUAAGAGCAUAAACAUAAACAACACUUGCACAAAUAGGCGCCAGCGGCUUCGAAACGGCAUAGCGGUGCAUAGCGAUUUAAGCAAAAGCAUAUGCUCGUAGAUAAACUCGUGCAAAAAAAGGCAAGGCAAGGAGUCACGAAGCGUGCGUGGCCUGCGGCGCAUAUUAUUGUGUAACUGCAUGCGUGUGUGGGUGUAUAUGUGAAGGUAUAUAUGCACGUAAAGAUAUUGGAAAAAGGAGGCGCAACAAAGCUAACUGAAAAAAGAGCAACAUAAGUAAAAAUAAUAAUAAAAAUUAAUAAAAAAAAGUUACGUAUACGCAGUGGCAGCCACAUUGCACCGCUUUCCGCUUGAAUGCCGAUGGGAUUGCUCCACCAGCGCGACUGGGGUUUAAGCGCAGCAUUUUGGUAAUAGACUGAAUGGCAUUCGAAUGCACUAACGGUAAAUGCGUUUGCUGACGGGGAAGUGGAGAAAAGACAGUUGCCUUACGUUGCGUUUGUGCACGCGCUCUUUCGUGCGGAAAUUGUGUGUGCAUGAGUCAAAGUAAAUCAAUAAUGGAGUGCAGAAAAAAAUCGAGAGUACAACAAUAAGAAAAAAAGUGCAGCGGUAAAAAACGAUAAAUAGUGUACUACAUCAUCACAGCAAGUGCUGAAACUCGAUGCUAAGUAAAGGAAAUUGAAAGCUGCUGCUUUGCUUUGUUUUGCCGCGCUCAGCGGCAUUCAUUGCCUUUGUUGCGUGUAAGCCAACUAAAAUGCUUCUCAAAACUUUGUUACUCUGAGUUAUUUCGGACAAAAUUUUUUACGCGCCUGCCAAAAUUGAAAUCACAAAUUUUUGCUAUCGAAGUAGAGGGUUGAACAUAUUUUUGAGAAUGGUUGCCGGCUAUUUUAAAAUUUCUGUAAAUAAAAAAAAUUUAAGGAUUUAAAAUCAUAAUACGAAAGUGUAGCCACUUCUUUGCAUAAUUAAAUAUUUUAAAAUUUCUGUAUGUAAAUUAAAACAUUAGAAAAAGUUGAAAAUUUAUUUAAAAAACGUUGCCACUUGUUUAAGAAAUUUAAUAUUAAAAAGCUUUAAAAUUUUUUAAAAUUAAAAAUAAAAAAAAAUUAUAAAACGUUGCCACUGUUUUGGAAAUUUUAUUGUAGUUUCUAACAAUUUAAAAACUUUUAAGUGUUAAUAAAAAUAUUUAAGAAAGUUAAAAAUUUUUUGGAAAGCAUUGUCACUUGUUUAAGAAUUUUAAUUUUAAAAGACUUUAAAAAUUGUAAAGUUGCUGCAUGUAAAUAAAAAAAAUUAAAAAUGCUCAAA
Bactrocera oleae (olive fruit fly) is the source of this 2536-nucleotide non-coding RNA. Lineage: Eukaryota; Metazoa; Arthropoda; Insecta; Diptera; Tephritidae. The record is from RefSeq and is a predicted model, not a curated record.